RNAcentral lists this ribosomal RNA (495 nucleotides) under uncultured bacterium. Its description in RNAcentral is "partial 16S ribosomal RNA". It matches the Rfam family "Bacterial small subunit ribosomal RNA", at positions 28 to 507 of the family's 1533-position model. The record is from RNAcentral.
GAUGAACGCUGGCGGCGUGCCUAAUACAUGCAAGUAGAACGCUGAAGGAGGAGCUUGCUCUUCUGGAUGAGUUGCGAACGGGUGAGUAACGCGUAGGUAACCUGCCUGGUAGCGGGGGAUAACUAUUGGAAACGAUAGCUAAUACCGCAUGACAACAGUUAUUGCAUGAUAACUGUUUAAAAGGGGCAACUGCUCCACUACCAGAUGGACCUGCGUUGUAUUAGCUAGUUGGUGAGGUAACGGCUCACCAAGGCGACGAUACAUAGCCGACCUGAGAGUGUGAUCGGCCACACUGGGACUGAGACACGGCCCAGACUCCUACGGGAGGCAGCAGUAGGGAAUCUUCGGCAAUGGACGGAAGUCUGACCGAGCAACGCCGCGUGAGUGAAGAAGGUUUUCGGAUCGUAAAGCUCUGUUGUAAGAGAAGAACGAGUGUGAGAGUGGAAAGUUCACACUGUGACGGUAUCUUACCAGAAAGGGACGGCUAACUACGUG